Struthio camelus australis is the source of this 191-nucleotide non-coding RNA. The record is from RefSeq and is a predicted model, not a curated record. NCBI's taxonomy places the organism in Eukaryota, Metazoa, Chordata, Aves, Struthioniformes, Struthionidae.
CCCCCCUGCCAGGGGACGCGUCUUGCAGUGAGGAAAAUCGGUCCCCUCACUGAUUGCAUCCUUCAUCCCUUCAGGGCAACCAGGGAGACCCAGGACCCCCAGGACCUCCGGGCACCGCUGGCCCGCCGGGCACCCAGGGCCCGUCUGGGAUGAAGGGAGAUCCGGGGGAGCCUGGCUCCAGCAUCCGCGUG